This 194-nucleotide ribosomal RNA is filed under the name Clostridium botulinum Bf. The record is from RNAcentral. Lineage: Bacteria; Bacillati; Bacillota; Clostridia; Eubacteriales; Clostridiaceae.
AUUAUAAUGUUAAAUAUCUGGUGAUUAUGGCUUGAAGGUAACACCCGUUCCCAUGCCGAACACGAAGGUUAAGCUUCAAAGCGCUGAUGGUACUGCAGGGGAAGCCCUGUGGAAGAGUAAGUCGUUGCCAGAUAUAAAUAUUCCGCGGUAGCUCAAUGGUGGAGCACUCGGCUGUUAACCGAUAGGUUGAAGGU